UACGAAGGGGGCUAGCGUUGCUCGGAAUUACUGGGCGUAAAGGGCGCGUAGGCGGAUAUUUAAGUCGGGGGUGAAAGCCCAGGGCUCAACCCUGGAAUUGCCUUCGAUACUGGGUAUCUCGAGUAUGGAAGAGGUGAGUGGAAUUCCGAGUGUAGAGGUGAAAUUCGUAGAUAUUCGGAGGAACACCAGUGGCGAAGGCGGCGACCUGGACAGAUAUUGACGCUGAGGUGCGAAAGCGUGGGGAGCAAACAGG
This 253-nucleotide ribosomal RNA is filed under the name uncultured bacterium. RNAcentral describes it as "partial 16S ribosomal RNA". It matches the Rfam family "Bacterial small subunit ribosomal RNA", at positions 524 to 776 of the family's 1533-position model. The record is from RNAcentral.